This 547-nucleotide ribosomal RNA is filed under the name uncultured bacterium. Its description in RNAcentral is "bacterial SSU rRNA". It matches the Rfam family "Bacterial small subunit ribosomal RNA", at positions 258 to 802 of the family's 1533-position model. The record is from RNAcentral.
UAACGGCCCACCGAGGCGACGAUGCGUAGGGGUUCUGAGAGGAAGGUCCCCCACACUGGUACUGAGACACGGACCAGACUCCUACGGGAGGCAGCAGUGAGGAAUAUUGGUCAAUGGGCGCGAGCCUGAACCAGCCAAGUCGCGUGAGGGAUGACGGUCCUACGGAUUGUAAACCUCUUUUGCCGGGGAGCAAGCGUGCGUUCGUGAACGCGCGUCGAGAGUACCCGGAGAAAAAGCAUCGGCUAACUCCGUGCCAGCAGCCGCGGUAAUACGGAGGAUGCGAGCGUUAUCCGGAUUUAUUGGGUUUAAAGGGUGCGUAGGCGGGAUGCCAAGUCAGCGGUAAAAAUGCGGUGCUCAACGCCGUCGAGCCGUUGAAACUGGCGUUCUUGAGUGGGCGAGAAGUAUGCGGAAUGCGUGGUGUAGCGGUGAAAUGCAUAGAUAUCACGCAGAACUCCGAUUGCGAAGGCAGCAUACCGGCGCCCUACUGACGCUGAGGCACGAAAGCGUGGGUAUCGAACAGGAUUAGAUACCCUGGUAGUCCACGCAG